AGUGGCGAACGGGUGAGUAAUGUAUCGGAACGUGCCCAGUAGCGGGGGAUAACUACGCGAAAGCGUAGCUAAUACCGCAUACUAUUGGAGCGGCCGAUAUCGGAUUAGCUAGUUGGUGGGGUAACGGCUCACCAAGGCGACGAUCCGUAGCUGGUUUGAGAGGACGACCAGCCACACUGGGACUGAGACACGGCCCAGACUCCUACGGGAGGCAGCAGUGGGGAAUUUUGGACAAUGGGGGAAACCCUGAUCCAGCCAUCCCGCGUGUGCGAUGAAGGCCUUCGGGUUGUAAAGCACUUUUGGCAGGAAAGCGGUACCUGCAGAAUAAGCACCGGCUAACUACGUGCCAGCAGCCGCGGUAAUACGUAGGGUGCAAGCGUUAAUCGGAAUUACUGGGCGUAAAGCGUGCGCAGGCGGUUCGGAAAGAAAGGUGUGAAAUCCCAGAGCUUAACUUUGGAACUGCAUUUUUAACUACCGGGCUAGAGUGUGUCAGAGGGAGGUGGAAUUCCGCGUGUAGCAGUGAAAUGCGUAGAUAUGCGGAGGAACACCGAUGGC
Molecule: ribosomal RNA, 555 nt
Filed under: uncultured bacterium
Lineage: Bacteria
Description: bacterial SSU rRNA
Rfam family: Bacterial small subunit ribosomal RNA
Source: RNAcentral